RNAcentral lists this ribosomal RNA (234 nucleotides) under uncultured Actinomycetales bacterium. RNAcentral describes it as "partial 16S ribosomal RNA". It matches the Rfam family "Bacterial small subunit ribosomal RNA", at positions 97 to 334 of the family's 1533-position model. The record is from RNAcentral. Lineage: Bacteria; Bacillati; Actinomycetota; Actinomycetes; Actinomycetales.
GGCGAACGGGUGAGUAACACGUGGGUGAUCUGCCUUGCACUAUGGGAUAAGCUUGGGAAACUGGGUCUAAUACCGGAUAGGAACCGUCUUUAGUGUGGUGGUUGGAAAGUUUUUUCGGUGCAAGAUGAGCUCGCGGCCUAUCAGCUUGUUGGUGGGGUAAUGGCCUACCAAGGCGUCGACGGGUAGCCGGCCUGAGAGGGUGUACGGCCACAUUGGGACUGAGAUACGGCCCAG